GACAGAGGGUGCAAACGUUGUUCGGAAUUACUGGGCGUAAAGCGAGUGUAGGCGGUUUGGUAAGUCGGAUGUGAAAGCCCCGGGCUCAACCCGGGAAGUGCACUCGAUACUGCCAAGCUAGAGUAUCGGAGAGGUUGGUGGAAUUCUCGGUGUAGAGGUGAAAUUCGUAGAUAUCGAGAGGAACACCGGUGGCGAAGGCGUCCAACUGGACGAAUACUGACGCUGAGACUCGAAAGCGUGGGGAGCAAACAGG
This 253-nucleotide ribosomal RNA is filed under the name uncultured bacterium. Its description in RNAcentral is "partial 16S ribosomal RNA". It matches the Rfam family "Bacterial small subunit ribosomal RNA", at positions 524 to 776 of the family's 1533-position model. The record is from RNAcentral.